Molecule: long non-coding RNA, 540 nt
Filed under: Helianthus annuus (common sunflower)
Lineage: Eukaryota; Viridiplantae; Streptophyta; Magnoliopsida; Asterales; Asteraceae
Description: hypothetical non coding rna
Source: RNAcentral
ACACCAUCCAUUGCCGUCACGAACCAAGUUUCGCUACUGACAUCGAACGACCGAAUGGGUGUAUUCGUUUAUGUCCUUUCACCUCUAUGUGACCCAGUUAUACGAGAGUUCCGCCAGCAUUGUACCGGUUCUCGUUAAGCAACCAAACUUGGUCACAAGUACGCCACCACCAAGAACUGUGCUAACUUUGAGCCGCUUUUGUCCGACUAUUUAAGAACUCCAAAUUGUUAUUUCUCACUCGCCCUGCUUGCCGUGUUAUUUCCCAUCGUCGUUUGAAGUUGUCCUCAUAUUCUUUUAGCGCGCUUAGUUCUAUAAGGAGUCACAAGCGCAACCACUCAUAAUCUCGAGACUUCAUCAAUCCCGCUCGCGGUUUAGCAUUACCAUGCGCAAAACUGUUGACGAUAUAAUUAAAGAUGCAAGGAAUCUAGUAGGAUUGCCUAGAAAUACAUUUAAAACUUUAAUACUUGUUAUUUUGUAACUUACUUUCAAACUUGUUGUAUCGUGUUUCCAAAUAACGUACUAAAUUAUUAUCAAUGAAAU